GACGAACGCUGGCGGCGUGCUUAACACAUGCAAGUCGAACGGAAAGGCCCUGCUUUUGUGGGGUGCUCGAGUGGCGAACGGGUGAGUAACACGUGAGUAACCUGCCCUUGACUUUGGUAUAACUUCAGGAAACUGGGGCUAAUACCGUAUAGGAGCUCCUGCUGCAUGGUGGGGGUUGGAAAUUUUCGGCGGUUGGGGAUGGACUCGCGGCUUAUCAGCUUGUUGGUGGGGUAGUGGCUUACCAAGGCUUUGACGGGUAGCCGGCCUGAGAGGGUGACCGGCGACAUGGGGACUGAGAUACGGCCCAGACUCCUACGGGAGGCAGCAGUGGGGAGUAUUGCACAAUGGGCGGAAGCCUGAUGCAGCAACGUCGCGGGCGGGAUGACGGCCUUCGGGUUGUAAACCGCUUUCGCCUGUGACGAAGCGUGAGUGACGGUAAUGGGUAAAGAAGCACCGGCUAACUACGUG
Molecule: ribosomal RNA, 468 nt
Filed under: uncultured bacterium
Lineage: Bacteria
Description: partial 16S ribosomal RNA
Rfam family: Bacterial small subunit ribosomal RNA
Source: RNAcentral